GGCAGCAGUGCGAGGCCGGACCCCUGGAUCCUGGGGAGGCAGGGUAUCCGGGCAGCAGCUGGAUGUGGAAGGCUCUGGCCAGACAGUCUCCUCUAGGACUCAUUCAGACAUCUUCACCUUCUGCAGAAAGCUCGCCUGAACCUGCAUCAGCUGUGCUUCCUGCAUGAUCCUGUACAGUCUGUGCACCAUGACUUAGGCUGUGCGCUUACCCAUCUGGAUGCUGGAAAAGCUCUAACUCCAGGAUUACUGAAAACAACUGUCAUGAUCUGGACAAGAAGAAGUAAACUCAUUAGCCCAGCAUGGUCCCAGGCUGGGGUCCCAGCUCCUUGGGAGGCUGAUGGAGGAUUGUUUGAGCCCAGGGGG
Long non-coding RNA from Cercocebus atys (sooty mangabey), 363 nucleotides. RefSeq lists it as uncharacterized. Lineage: Eukaryota; Metazoa; Chordata; Mammalia; Primates; Cercopithecidae. The record is from RefSeq and is a predicted model, not a curated record. The transcript has 3 exons.